This 484-nucleotide ribosomal RNA is filed under the name uncultured bacterium. RNAcentral describes it as "partial 16S ribosomal RNA". It matches the Rfam family "Bacterial small subunit ribosomal RNA", at positions 30 to 507 of the family's 1533-position model. The record is from RNAcentral.
AUUGAACGCUGGCGGCAGGCCUAACACAUGCAAGUCGAGCGGAUGAAGGGAGCUUGCUCCUGGAUUCAGCGGCGGACGGGUGAGUAAUGCCUAGGAAUCUGCCUGGUAGUGGGGGAUAACGUCCGGAAACGGGCGCUAAUACCGCAUACGUCCUGAGGGAGAAAGUGGGGGAUCUUCGGACCUCACGCUAUCAGAUGAGCCUAGGUCGGAUUAGCUAGUUGGUGGGGUAAAGGCCUACCAAGGCGACGAUCCGUAACUGGUCUGAGAGGAUGAUCAGUCACACGGGAACUGAGACACGGUCCAGACUCCUACGGGAGGCAGCAGUGGGGAAUAUUGGACAAUGGGCGAAAGCAUGAUCCAGCGAUGCCGCGUGUGUGAAGAAGGUCUUCGGAUUGUAAAGCACGUUAAGUUGGGAGGAAGGGCAGUAAGUUAAGACCUUGCUGUUUUGACGGUACCAACAGAAUAAGCACCGGCUAACUUCGUG